Micropterus dolomieu (smallmouth bass) is the source of this 544-nucleotide long non-coding RNA. RefSeq lists it as uncharacterized. The record is from RefSeq and is a predicted model, not a curated record. Lineage: Eukaryota; Metazoa; Chordata; Actinopteri; Centrarchiformes; Centrarchidae. The transcript is spliced from 2 exons.
CUCCACACCACUCUUGCUUGAUCGUCAUUGCUCCAUACCCGGUUCACUCACCCUCGUCCUCCGUUCAGUCGGCUGGGCUCGUCCUCCGGACCUCUCCUCUUCGGGCUUCCCCCACGGCGUCCUCCCAGUUCUCCCUUGCAUCCUCCCUUCCUCGGCCCCAGUGUUCCCCGGCUCCCUGGUUUCCGUCCCGUCGGUUUCCCUGUGCCAGUGUUUCCCCGGCAUCCUCCUCUCCCUCCACUCCAGUCCCUCAACCCCCUUUUUUCCCUAAAUAAACCUCCUUCGCUCAAAGUGCUGCGUUUGGGUCCUCUCGGUCCCCAUGCCAUACCACCCACUUAACACUUCUCACCUCCAACCUGUCAGACCUCAACAGUAAAGCCACCAAAGGCAAAGCACUGACUAUUGCACAUGACCCCAGUCACCCUCAUCAUCUUCUUCACAGUGCUUUCAUCUGGACACGGAUACAUCUAGCCUGGAAAUGGGUCCACUACAGCAGAAGCUUCGUGCUGUAUGCCAUCGCAUCCUUAAUAAAACUCCCCAGCAGUGA